Podarcis lilfordi (Lilford's wall lizard) is the source of this 74-nucleotide non-coding RNA. The record is from the annotation of a GenBank genome assembly. NCBI's taxonomy places the organism in Eukaryota, Metazoa, Chordata, Lepidosauria, Squamata, Lacertidae.
GUCUUAUUUGGCUCAGUCAGUAGAGCAUGAGACUCUUAAUCUUAGGGUUGUGCGUUCGAGCCCCACAUUGGGCA